AUCACAUGCGACGAUGGGCGUCCGGCAGUCUGUUCUACUGCAGGCUUCAGCACAUUAUUCUCUGCCUGCCUUCCUCGAAACCUAAUGGGAAGCUGCUGCUUGAAGUUAGACCUAACCCCAGUCCUAACGCUCAUGUCAAGCUACUCCCUUGUGAGUCCUUCCAAAGACUACUGAAUCAUACAUACCCAACCUCUGUGGCCUUACCUUCUCCUCCUUGUGUCAUUAAACCCACCUUCCUCAGUGAGUACUUAUAUCCCUCUGCCCACUUCACAACCGAGUACACGUCUCAAGUAGUUCCCUGGGUCUCCUUCGUCUCACCUGCUCUUUGAUGAUGUUCCAAGGCUUUCUUAGCUGAGGUGAUGAUUGUGGUCUGAAGCCGGAGGAUGGACGAUAAGGACUCAGUAGCCUCCUUGGAUCCUACGGCGGUGCAGGAAGUCAUGCCUAUUUCCGCCGUCACCGACAUCGUAAGAAGUUGGAUUAAAGGUCAAGGGACGCUAGCGUUCCAUGGUCGUUUUAUCUUCGGAUGCAGGAGUUGGUCUUUGUCGGUGUUAUCUAAUAUUUCUUGUUAGUUCUGGAAUGGUGUUAUCCCAUCUGAGCUUUUCUCCCUUCCCGACUAUCCUUCUUCAAACCCCACACCACUGCCCGCAAGAUCAACUGUUCUUGACCUUGUAAGACCUUUUCUUGAUCUUGUAAGGCCCAAUUCUCCAUCUGUUUUCCUCGUCGUCUGCUUCAUCUUCAUCGUCUCCUCACUCGACGUGGAACGAGUCAAUGCAAACUAUCUUCCUGUCUUCUCUCUCCUCUUCUGCCCUCCCCUCCUCUCUAUCCCUCCUGAGCUAUUUCACCAGAUGUGCUUCGAGAUUAUCUAGCUCUUCUUACUUUUAAACUUGUUAAGAUCCACUUUGAGAGAGGAGCUUUAAUAGGUUAUCAUUUCUAAGGUAGAAUAUCUCCAACUGUUUCGAUAUUAUUAUGUUUUGCAGCCAUCCAUUUGUUUUGCUUCACAUGUUAGGCAGUAUAUUCUUCUUCCCGUCAUAAAUCGAGCUGGUACAGCAUGUACAAGGCUAUGGAUCUUUUCGAUGCUUUUUGUAUGCCAGUUUUCUGUGAUUUCCAAUGAAAUAUGCCUUUUGGUGUUAUCAUA
Molecule: long non-coding RNA, 1135 nt
Organism: Musa acuminata AAA Group (dessert banana)
Lineage: Eukaryota; Viridiplantae; Streptophyta; Magnoliopsida; Zingiberales; Musaceae
Exons: 3
Source: RefSeq, a predicted model, not a curated record